Non-coding RNA from Gossypium hirsutum (cotton), 142 nucleotides. The record is from Rfam. NCBI's taxonomy places the organism in Eukaryota, Viridiplantae, Streptophyta, Magnoliopsida, Malvales, Malvaceae.
UAUUAAAAAUGUCAUCCAUUUACUAUUAAAAAUUAGUGUGACUGAUGGAAUAAUCAAACACUUAAACAUGGUGUGUCACGUGUACAUCAUUUUGACGUACGAGGACCAAUUUUUAAUAGUAGAAUUUGAUGAAUUUUUAACA